UACGUAGGGGGCGAGCGUUGUCCGGAUUCAUUGGGCGUAAAGAGCUCGUAGGCGGCUUGGUUAGUUGGGUGUGAAACCUCCAGCUUAACCUGGAGACGCCACUCAAUACUGCCAUGGCUAGAGUCCGGUAGGGGACCACGGAAUUCCUGGUGUAGCGGUGAAAUGCGCAGAUAUCAGGAGGAACACCGAUGGCGAAGGCAGAUCUCUGGGCCGUAACUGACGCUGAGGAGCGAAAGCAUGGGGAGCGAACAGG
This 253-nucleotide ribosomal RNA is filed under the name uncultured bacterium. RNAcentral's name for it is "partial 16S ribosomal RNA". It matches the Rfam family "Bacterial small subunit ribosomal RNA", at positions 524 to 776 of the family's 1533-position model. The record is from RNAcentral.